UUCGAAACCCUUCCCUCUCAUUCCAGUUCUCCUUUGUCUUCAAUUUUCGAAGGAAAGCACAACCUUAAUACAUCUGAUUUUCAAAGCCAAGCAAAAUGCCUCAUUUUCCUCUGAAUUUUCGAAGCCUCAUCUCCCAUAAACCUCUGAAAUUUUUGAAUCUAGAACCAAUCGAAUCUGAGCAGCCAUGAACCUUGCUCUUUCCUUGAAAUUUUCGAAAAUGGAAGAACAACCCAAGUUUCUGAUUUUCUUGUUCUUUUCGGAAACAAACACAACACAUCAACCCAUUGAAGGUCCUGAACAGAAACGCAACACCUUUCCUCUUCGUUCUUUCUUUCACUGCGUUUUCUUCUAAUUUCUGGUACAUACACAGCAACAAGCAUCAUCAUCUUCCUUUAAUUGACGCUUGACUAUUGAGGCGACAUCAUCGAGGAACCUUUCUAGUUAAUAGCUGCAAAUCGAUCACGGCUCUUUGAAGCGUCUAGUUGUUUGAUUACAGAUCGGAACCGGUCGGGAACGAUGGGUUAGUGGUGUUGAAUAGCGUUCCAAGGAUGUAUAUUGAGCUGAGCACGUGAGAAUUUGUAGUUUUGUAUUAGGUUUUUGGAUAAAUGUAUAUUAGUCUUGGUUGUGUUGGUUAUGUGGGAAUCGAAGUGAAUUGUAUGAUUACUUGUGUUUUAGUUAGAUGUUUGGUUUGAAAAUUAGCUGAGUUAGUUAUGUUGAAAAGUUGGUAUCCCUUUGCUCAA
This is a long non-coding RNA of Amaranthus tricolor (Joseph's coat), 740 nucleotides long. RefSeq lists it as uncharacterized. The record is from RefSeq and is a predicted model, not a curated record. NCBI's taxonomy places the organism in Eukaryota, Viridiplantae, Streptophyta, Magnoliopsida, Caryophyllales, Amaranthaceae. The transcript is spliced from 3 exons.